Molecule: ribosomal RNA, 440 nt
Filed under: uncultured bacterium
Lineage: Bacteria
Description: partial 16S ribosomal RNA
Rfam family: Bacterial small subunit ribosomal RNA
Source: RNAcentral
CCUACGGGAGGCAGCAGUGGGGAAUAUUGCACAAUGGGGGAAACCCUGAUGCAGCAACGCCGCGUGAGUGAAGAAGUAUUUCGGUAUGUAAAGCUCUAUCAGCAGGGAAGAAGAUGACGGUACCUGAGUAAGAAGCCCCGGCUAACUACGUGCCAGCAGCCGCGGUAAUACGUAGGGGGCAAGCGUUAUCCGGAUUUACUGGGUGUAAAGGGAGCGUAGACGGCAGCACAAGUCUGGAGUGAAAUCCCCGGGCUUAACCCCGGAACUGCUUUGGAAACUGUGCGGCUGGAGUGCAGGAGGGGUAAGCGGAAUUCCUAGUGUAGCGGUGAAAUGCGUAGAUAUUAGGAGGAACACCAGUGGCGAAGGCGGCUUACUGGACUGUAACUGACGUUGAGGCUCGAAAGCGUGGGGAGCAAACAGGAUUAGAUACCCGAGUAGUC